RNAcentral lists this unclassified non-coding RNA (334 nucleotides) under soil metagenome. Its description in RNAcentral is "partial contains 5.8S ribosomal RNA, internal transcribed spacer 2, and large subunit ribosomal RNA". The stretch from base 1 to 120 matches the Rfam family "5.8S ribosomal RNA", at positions 35 to 154 of the family's 154-position model. The record is from RNAcentral.
GAUGAAGAACGCAGCGAAAUGCGAUAAGUAGUGUGAAUUGCAGAAUUCAGUGAAUCAUCGAAUCUUUGAACGCACAUUGCGCCCCUUGGUAUUCUAUGGGGCAUGCCUGUUCGAGCGUCAUUUGUACCUUCAAGCUCUGCUUGGUGUUGGGUGUUUGUCCUUACUCUUGCAGUGGGACUUGCCCUAAAGUUAUUGGCAGCCAGUGUUUUGGUUUUGAAGCGCAGCACAAGUCGCGAUUCAGGGCUAAACGCCAGUUUCCACAAGCCUUUUUCACUUUUGACCUCGGAUCAGGUAGGGAUACCCGCUGAACUUAAGCAUAUCAAUAAGCGGAGGA